Long non-coding RNA from Pogoniulus pusillus (Red-fronted tinkerbird), 2125 nucleotides. RefSeq lists it as uncharacterized. The record is from RefSeq and is a predicted model, not a curated record. The transcript is spliced from 10 exons. Lineage: Eukaryota; Metazoa; Chordata; Aves; Piciformes; Lybiidae.
AGAAUUUCCUUCGGGAAAGUACUGAGUCAGAACACUAAUAAGCUUUUUCCUUCCUUCCUUCUCAUUUGAUAUGCUACGCUCAUGCCUUCUUGUUGAGAAGAAUUGAUAGGAUAGGUUAGGACAGGAUAGGAAUGGCUUUUCAAGGGUGGUAAUUCUCUGACUAGCAUUCUUUGUUGCUACUCCACAACCCAGAGAAUGUAACGCAGGUGCUAGCACAUAAUUGCCAGCACCUCACUGUCAGAGGAGUGGAGAAUUUGUGAGUGAAACAGAGAAAUGAGUGCAUUAACUGCACACAGAGGCAAAUCUACUGAAGCAGGUUUUUCACAAUGUUAAUCAGCAGAACAUAGGCUUCAUAUUUUUUUUUAAAUCUCAAAUAACAUUAACAGUGUCCUCAAAGAUAACUGAAAAGUGAUCAUUUUCUCUGAGCUGCUUCCUCAUGUGGAAAUGAACCCCACACUGUCCACUAUCAACUAGACAAAAAUCCACAAGAGUCAGUGGGCUACAUUUUCUUUCAGGACAAGACUUACUAGAAAAAAAUUCUCCCUUAUUUCCUUUCCCUGUGCCCCAUGCCAGGAUCACACUCAUGUUACUUUAUAAGUAGCCAUCUGGUGAAGAGCAAUCUCUUCGUUCUUGGCAAAUUAUCCACAGCUGAGCUUCGGUUGUUUGCUGCAACUUUUUUUUUGCUCUGCCCCUUUGAAAUAGGAGUCUUCCCCAGCAUGACCUUUCUUGUUUCAGGAGACAUUUUACAUUCCCGAUAAGCCUGGAUAAUGCUUUCUUGGAAGGUACAGGCUGUUGCUGUUUCUCUUGUAUAUGGAGCACUAGGAGCUACAGUGAUUGAUGACAUCUCAACUUACUAUCCUUCUUCAGCCCAGGAAGAACGUAGCACUGAGAUAAUUGACCCAUCAUUUCAGAGAAACGUGUAGGAAAGUCCAGCAGACAGAAGACACUUUGCAUCUGAUUAUAAUCUCUCACAGAAAUUCUUUUCUGGUGGAGCUGUGCUGAUGUGAUGGUAAGCUUAAAUGGGUGCUUGUUUUGCUCAAAGACUAAAGAAGCCACUUUUCUGCUCUGAAGUUCUCCUGUGAACUUUUAACCAAGAAACCAGCCUUUCUGCACAUUCCACAAGGCAUCAGAAACACAGGGACAAUAAAAUCACAGCUAAGUGCAGCAUUUUCAUCAUGUGAUAUUUCUGAUCCUUUCCUGGAACUGAGGAAAAAGAAGAAGCUGGUGGAACACUGCACUUGCAAUACAACAACAAAAAAGAACGAAGUGUGAAAAAGAAACGUUUGAAGACAAGACCAGAAGACACAAAGAAAAUACUUUUGAAAUUUAAAGAAAAGUGAACAUCUUUGCAUGCUUUAGCUACACAGCUGGCACUUAAGUGUGCUUGGAAAAUUUUCAGCAGAUCAGAAUUUUGUUAGAAACCUCCGUACAGCUUUCAGCAUCCAAGAUACCCAGGCUCUUGAAAUGAUUUGGAUUUGACAGACUUCAGAAACCUCAAAGGAAGAAGAAAAAAAUACAAAACAAUCAAAAGCCCAAAAAAAUCCACUGGAGAGCAAAGAUGACAGACCUAGAGGCUGCUCAGUGUUACUGGGAAAAGCGUGGGAAGGGAAGAACCCUUUAUGCUAUCAAAGCAGGAGAGAAGAUGAGGCAGGACUCUGCAAAAUUUGAGCUGAUGCUGCUGGUGCUCUUGUGGGAGAUAUCUUCAGUGAAGGUGUAUUGCUGGGAAGUAAAAGUAGUACAUCUAUGGAUUCCCACCAUUUUUCAGUGUGCUGCGAGAACAUCUGCUAGUACUCAUCAAACUCCUCUGUGGUUGGUUACCCCCAUUUAACAGGUUGAAGAAAUUAGACAGGUUAAAGGACUUGUCCAAGACCACACGGGGAAGAGGAUGACAGUGUAGGUAUUAGAAUCAUAAUUUCCUGUCUCUACUUACAAUCACUUUGCAUCAAGGAGAAGGCAUUUUUUUCUUACCUAGCUCUUUGGUUAUUUGACGUUUCCUCUCUCUUACUCUUGUUCCAUCUCAACUAUAAUAUAAUUGGAAAAAAAAAACCCUCCCUUUUAGUAUGCAUCUUUGAGUUUAAUCUGUGAUGCCAAACAGAUGAAAUAAAUGUUGUCACAACUCCAGAAA